UGAGAACCAAGUGGUGGAUGAACACAGCUGCCAGACAGGGUUUCAAUGAGCCAUGAAGGGGCAAAUAAGCAGGAGAAGGUUGAGACAGGAAGAAAAGGGCAUAAAACAGUGGAAGUGUAUGUAAGAACUUCCAUUUCCAGAGGGAAACAGGAUUCACUACACUUGCCUUUGAUUACGCUUUGUCUACCGGGUGCUUGUUUCUCUCCUCUGCCAAUUCAAAUUAUGUGACAUCUACCAAGAAGAAAGUCAAGUCCUACUCUCUUCUCUCCAUUGCAGCUUCAGAGCAUAUGACAGCUCUGUUGAUGGCUGGAGGCAGACCUGCAAACAUUCUGGGGCUGACAAGCCAAAACAGUAUUGCAAAGACAAAGAGAAUCAACUUUUAAUUUAUGUAUCACUUUGGAUUUUUCCCACUGCCAAUCAGAUUUCUGGGCGAGAGCUCCUCAUGAAUUUUCUGACAGCUACAUGGAUCACAUGGGACAAUCAGACCAUCCCUGAAGUGUUGUGCUCCCUUCUGGAAAGCGUCCCUUAAAGAUGUGGACGAAAUGGAGUAUGCCCAGAAGAAGAAAUGGGAUGAUAAGAGAUUUGAGAAACCACAUCACAAGAUAAAAAAUUGAAGACCAGAGAAAUCAAGGAAAUAUAAUUACAUCAGGAGCACAACAAGAUGGUGGAAAAGAAGGCUACACCAUUCAUCCCUUCCCCCAGCCAGGAAUAUCAAAUUUUAACAUCUGCACACAGAAAAGCACCACAAGAAGAAGCAAAAAUGAGGUGAGCUGAUAAGAAAGCCUGAGCACUCCUUCCCUUGGCACCACCAGGAAAUGCCAAACCACAAAAAUUUCUGCUCACACACAGGAAUCCUCAUCCCAGCCCCAUCCCUGGACCAUAAUAAAAUCCAAAGUUACUGGCCCUUUCCCUUACUCAAGCCAUUUCAGACUGGUUUGGGUGUCUGCCCUGCUCUCCCCCAAAAGUCCAAUUAUGUGAAUAAUAAAACUUUUUAGACCCUCUUAAUGUGUGUGUGUGUGAGAUAGAGAGAGAUCAGUCUCAAUCAACAUCUGAACCAAUUUUGAGUAGGGGGUUGGUCCUGCUCUCCAUGGGGCAACCACUAAACAAUUGGUACUGGAAGUAGGAUUGUGCAUCAUAUCACUACGCACUUAUCAGAAUGUCUAAAAUAAAAAAAAAAAUAGUGAUAACACCAAAUGCUGGCAAUGAUGCCAAGAAAUUAGAGCACUCAUACAUUGCCAGUGGGAAUGUAAAAUGGUACAACCAAUGGAAAACAGUAUGGUAGUUUCUUCUAAAAAAAUAAACAUGUGCUUACUGUGCAACCUAGCUAUUGCAUUCUUGGGCAUUUAACCCAGAAAAAAGAAAACUUAUAUCCACACAAAGACUUGUAAUAAAAUAGCCAUAGCACCUUUAUUGAUAAUAGCCUCAAACUCGAAACAACCCAAAUGUCCAUCAACUGAUGAAUGGAUAAACAAAAUAUGGUGUAUCUAUACCAUGGAAUGGUGUAAAAAGAACGAACUAUCAAUACCAUGCAACAAGUUAAAUGGAUCUCAAGAAAAUUAUGCUGAGCUAAAAUAAAUAAAUAAGGUAAACAAAAAGGUUACAUCCUGUAUGAUUUUAUUUAUAUAACAUUUUUGAAAUGACUCAAUUAUAGAGAUGGAGAACAGAUUACUGGUUGCCAAGGUUUGGGGUUGGGGUGGAGAUGGGGCAUGGAAGGGAGGUGAGUGUGGUUAUAAAAGAGCAGUACAAGGGAUCCUUGUUACAGAACUCUUCUGUAUCUUGACUGUGGUGGUGGUCACACUAUUCUACACAUAAUGAUAAAAUUGCAAAGAACAAAAUACACACACACAACGACUGCCUGUAAAACUGGAGAAAUAUGAAUAAGGUUAAAUGGAUUGUAUAAAUGUCAAUUCGCUGGCUGUGAUAUUCUACUAUAGUUAUGCAAGAUGUUACCACUGAGGGAAACUGGGUGAUGGGUGUAAGGAAUUUAUCUGUAUUAUUUCUUAAAACUGCAUGUGAAUAUACAGUUAUCUCAAAAUAAAAAGUAAAAACAAAAUCUCUCCCAAUGUCUAG
This 2070-nucleotide long non-coding RNA is filed under the name Homo sapiens (human). Its description in RNAcentral is "HSALNT0282082". Lineage: Eukaryota; Metazoa; Chordata; Mammalia; Primates; Hominidae. The record is from RNAcentral.